RNAcentral lists this ribosomal RNA (301 nucleotides) under uncultured bacterium. RNAcentral describes it as "partial 16S ribosomal RNA". It matches the Rfam family "Bacterial small subunit ribosomal RNA", at positions 509 to 807 of the family's 1533-position model. The record is from RNAcentral.
CAGUCGCCGCGGUAAUACGUAGGGUGCAAGCGUUAAUCGGAAUUACUGGGCGUAAAGGGCUCGCAGGCGGUUUCUUAAGUCUGAUGUGAAAGCCCCCGGCUCAACCGGGGAGGGUCAUUGGAAACUGGGAAAUUUGAGUGCAGAAGAGGAGAGUGGAAUUCCACGUGUAGCGGUGAAAUGCGUAGAGAUGUGGAGGAACACCAGUGGCGAAGGCGACUCUCUGGUCUGUAACUGACGCUGAGGAGCGAAAGCGUGGGGAGCGAACAGGAUUAGAUACCCCAGUAGUCCCUGUCUCUUAUAC